CCUGCCAGGGCGGUGCGGCGCUGGCGUCUCCGCCGCUCUUGUGUAGUCUGCGUAAUAAGCGGGAUACGAAAAGCACUCGCAGUUUCUUUACCCGCCGCUCUGCUGGCCUGGGCGGCGGCUGCUGGACGGCACGCGAGGGACCUGCGGGGAGGGAAGCGGGGCUCCAGGCCCCAGCCAGUUUCUGCAGUCUCCCUCGCCCCGGGCCAGAUCCUGCUUUAGGGCCCUGCCCUCCUCCAAGGCUCCACCCCGCCGCCCCUUGAAGUGUGACCACGUCUCCUUCAGGAUACUGUCCCCAGAUCUGCCCCAGCCAUGCCACCCGGGCACGCUCAGUACCUCCGUCGAGAAAUUUGCGAACACACAGCGAAGUGCCACACAGCUGUGUCCUCACCACCGACGGUCCGUUUACUUCGGGAUGGACUAUCGCCUCCUCGCAUCUGGGCCGCCCUCCGUUCAUCUCAGAGUCCGCGGCAGCCGUCGGGGCAUGCUUUCCCUGCCUCCUUCAGCAUGUUCCUCAUUACUUACAGGUCAUCACUGACGACAUUCUUCUUUGAAUGUAAAGCGGUGAAAGGCCCUGCUGCGAACAUUUGCAGGGUUUUGACAAAGGGGUGCAUUUUGGUAACCCAGAUGCUUAUCGAGCUGUUGUGUGUUCCCUUCACCCCAGAAAGUUCCCUCAAGCUCUUUCUGGUCAACUCCCAGUCCACUCAGAGGCAAGGGUAUCCUGCCUAGUGAUACUGGAUCUAAAGCAAAGGAAAAAAUAUUCUUUAAUGGUUAAUUUUUUCCCGGAACACUUGAUGAGGGGAAAACCCAUUGAAAAGUGAAAAGCAGAUAUAUUAAAACUCAAAAUAUUUUAA
Phacochoerus africanus (Common warthog) is the source of this 851-nucleotide long non-coding RNA. RefSeq lists it as uncharacterized. The transcript has 2 exons. The record is from RefSeq and is a predicted model, not a curated record. Lineage: Eukaryota; Metazoa; Chordata; Mammalia; Artiodactyla; Suidae.